This 69-nucleotide transfer RNA is filed under the name Rattus norvegicus (Norway rat). It matches the Rfam family "tRNA". Rfam says of the family: Transfer RNA (tRNA) molecules are approximately 80 nucleotides in length. Their secondary structure includes four short double-helical elements and three loops (D, anti-codon, and T loops). Further hydrogen bonds mediate the characteristic L-shaped molecular structure. tRNAs have two regions of fundamental functional importance: the anti-codon, which is responsible for specific mRNA codon recognition, and the 3' end, to which the tRNAs corresponding amino acid is attached (by aminoacyl-tRNA synthetases). tRNAs cope with the degeneracy of the genetic code in two manners: having more than one tRNA (with a specific anti-codon) for a particular amino acid; and 'wobble' base-pairing, i.e. permitting non-standard base-pairing at the 3rd anti-codon position. The record is from Rfam by way of RNAcentral. Lineage: Eukaryota; Metazoa; Chordata; Mammalia; Rodentia; Muridae.
GGGGAUUUAGCUCAGUGGUAGAGUGCUUGCCUAGCAAGCAGAAGGCGAAGGCCCUGGGUUCGGUCCCCA